CGACCCCCCCCGGGAGCCCCGGACAGCGCGUGUGCCGGGACCAGGGCUCCGUCCCCAAACUGGGGGGCAAAGGUCACCGUGGGGAGACAAGGGCCUGAGCCGGUGCUCCCGGGGCUGGGGGGGCACGGGCCCCGCCCCCAUCUGUCCCCCCCACCCCCCUGCCGGCGCCUUUGUUCCCCGGGCAGCACCUAAUCGUGUGUGUGUGUGUGUGUGUGUCCGUGUGUGUCCCCGGGAGUCUGCGUCCUGUGCAUGUGUAUGUGUCCGGGAGCCUGCGUCCUGUGUAUACGUGUGCGUGUCUGGGAGCCUGCGUCCUGUAUGUGUGUGUCUGAGUGUGUGUGUGUGUCUGGGAGCCUGCGUCCUGUGUAUACGUGUGUGUGUGUGUGUGUGUGUGUCCGGGAGCCUGCGUCCUGUGUGUGUGUGUGUGUGUCUGUGUGUGUCCGGGAGCCUGCGUCCUGUGUGUGUGUGUGUGAGUGUGUGUGUCCGGGAGCCUGCGUCCUGUGUGUGUGUGUGUGUGUGUGUGUGUCCAGGAGCCUGCGUCCUGUGUAUACGUGUGUGUGUAUGUGUGUGUGUGUGUCCGGGAGCCUGCGUCUUCUGUGUGUGUGUGUGUGUGCGCGUGUGUGUCUGGGAGCCUGCGUCCUCUGUGUGUGUGUGUGUGCAUGUGUGUGUGUGUGUCUGGGAGCCUGCGUCCUGUGUGGAUGUGCGUGUGUGUCUGGGAGCCUGCGUCCUGUGUGUGUGUGUGUGUGUGUCCAGGAGCCUGCGUCCUGUGUAUACGUGUGUGUGUAUGUGUGUGUGUGUGUCCGGGAGCCUGCGUCCUCUGUGUGUGUGUGGGUGUGUGUGUGUCCGGGAGCCUGCGUCUUCUGUGUGUGUGUGUGUGCGCGUGUGUGUUUGGGAGCUUGCGUCCUCUGUGUGUGUGUGUGUGCAUGUGUGUGUGUGUGUCUGGGAGCCUGCGUCCUGUGUGGAUGUGCGUGUGUGUCCGGGAGCCUGCGUCUUCUGCGUGUGUGUGUGUGUGCAUGUGUCUGGGAGCCUGCGUCUGUAUGUGUGUGUGUGUGUGUGUGUGUGUCUGGGAGCCUGCGUCCUGUGUGUGUGUCUGGGAGCCUGCGUCCUGUGUAUACGUGUGUGUAUGUGUGUGUGUGUGUGUCCGGAAGCCUCCGUCCUGUGUGUGUGUGUGAGUGUGUGUGUGUGUCCAGGAGCCUGCAUCCUGUGUGUGUGUGUUCAGGAGCCUGCGUCCCGUGUGUGUGUGUGUAUGUGUGUGUGUGUGUCCGGAAGCCUGCGUCCUGUGUGUGUGUGUUCGGGAGCCUGCGUCCCGUGUGUGUGUGUGUGUGUGUCCAGGAGCCUGCGUCCUGUGUAUACGUGUGUGUGUGUUUGGGAGCCUGCGUCCUGUGUGUGUGUGUGUGUGUGUGUGUGUGUGUGUGUGCGCAUGUGCAUGUGUGUGUGUCUGGGAUCCUGCGUCCUGUGUAUACGUGUGUGUGUGUGUGUCCGGGAGCCUGUGUCCUGUGUGCAUGUGUGUGUGUGUCUGGGAGCCUGUGUCCUGUGUAUAUGUGUGCGUGUGUGUGUGUGUCUGGGAGCCUGCGCCCUGUGUGUGUGUGUGUCCGUGUGUGUCCCCUGGAGUCUGUGUCCUGUGCAUGUGUAUGUGUCCGGGAGCCUGCGUCCUGUGUAUACGUGUGCGUGUCUGGGAGCCUGCGUCCUGUAUGUGUGUGUGUGAGUGUGUGUGUGUGUCUGGGAGCCUGCGUCCUGUGUAUACGUGUGUGUGUGUGUGUGUGUGUGUGUGUGUGUGUGUCUGGGAGCCUGCGUCCUGUGUGUGUGUGUGUGAGUGUGUGUGUCCGGGAGCCUGCGUCCUGUGUGUGUGUGUGUGAGUGUGUGUGUCCGGGAGCCUGUGUCCUGUGCGCGCGCGCAUGUGUGUGUGUGUCCGGGAGCCUGCGUCCUGUGUGUGUGUGUGUGUGUGUGUGUGUCCAGGAGCCUGCGUCCUGUGCACGCGCGCGUGUGUGUGUGUGUCCGGGAGCCUGCGUCCUGUGUGUGUGUGUGUGUGUGUGUGAGCGUGUGUGUCCAGGAACCUGCGUCUUCUGUGUGUGUGUGUGUGUGUCUGGGAGCCUGCGCCCUAUGUGUGUGUGUCCGGGAGCCUGCGUCCUGUGUGCAUGUGUGUGUGUGUCUGGGAGCCUGUGUCCUGUGCAAACGUGUGCUUGUGCGUGUGUCUGGGAGCCUGCGUCCUGUGUGUGUGUGUGUGUGUGUGUGUGUCCGGGAGCCUGCGUCCCGUGUAUAGGUGUGUGUGUGUUUGUGUCCUGGAGCCUGGGUCCUGUGUAUACGUGUGUGUGUGCGCGCGCGCGUGCGUUGGACGCCUGGGUUUGGUCUCCGUGUGUGUGGGUACGUGUAUGUGCACGUGUCCUGGAGGCCUGGAUUCUGCAUAUACGUGUGCAUGUGCGUCUGCGUGUGUGCUUGUGUCAGACGCCUGGGUUGUGUGUGUGUGUAUGGGGGGUGUGCACCUGGCUGCACUCCUGCGUGUGCGUGUGUAACCGCGCUGUAAGGGUGUCCGCAGCGCCCCCGCUUGGCUGGUCCGGGGAGUGCGGGGGUGUCCCUGCCCGGGGGGGUGGGUCUCUCCGGGCUGCAGCGGCCCCGCCCCACGUGCAGGAAUCCCGGGAAUCCUCCCCCUCCCCGCACGCGCCGGGCGCCGGGUGGGGGGGCUAGGACCCCGCUGGUACCGGCCUGCGCCGUGCUGCACAACCCCCCCCCGGCCGGGAUGGGGGUGCUCGGGGUUGCACAGACCUCCCCGGCCGGGAUGGGACGCUUGGGACUGCACGAACCCCCAGACAGGCAGGGAUCGGGGUGCUCAGGGCUGCACGGCCCCCCAGGCAGGGAUCGGGGUGCUCAGGGCUGCACGGCCCCCCAGGCAGGGAUCGGGGUGCUCAGGGCUGCACGGCCCCCCAGGCAGGCAGGGAUCGGGGUGCUCGGGGCUGCACGGACCCCCAGGCAGGGAUCGGGGUGCUCAGGGUUGUACGGCCCCCCAGGCAGGCAGGGAUCGGGGUGCUCAGGGCUGCACGGCCCCCCAGGCAGGCAGGGAUCGGGGUGCUCGGGGCUGCACGGCCCCCCAGGCAGGGAUCGGGGUGCUCGGGGCUGCACGGCCCCCCAGGCAGGGAUCGGGGUGCUCGGGGCUGUACGGCCCCCCAGGCAGGGAUCGGGGUGCUCGGGGCUGUACGGCCCCCCAGGCAGGGAUCGGGGUGCUCGGGGCUGUCCCUACUCCCCCAAGCCGGGGGUUUGUGUCCCUACCCCCAUGCACGGACCCCCCCGGCCGGAGCGACCUCCUUUACCUGUCCCUGCCCCACCGCAGCCCGCUCCCUCCUGGCUGCCCCCCCUCCCCGCCGGUGCCGGUGCCGGUGCCGGUGCCGGUGACCUGCAGGGCCGGGGCCGCCCGCCAGGGGGUGCUCGGGCCCCGCCGCUGAGGGGUCCCGGGGGGACGUGGGGGGGCGGGGCGCUCGGGGGGCGGGGCCUCGGCCGGGCGGUGCCGGGAUCGGGAUCGGGACCAGGAGCGCGAGCGGAAGCGGGACGGACGACGGACGCGCGGACGGGCCGGGCCCCGAUCCCGCCCCCCAUGGGCUCCCCCCGCCCCGCGCUGCUCCUGGCCGCCGCCGCCGCGCUGCUGCACGCGCAACCCAACACAGACGGUGCAGGAGCCACAGGCGGCAUCAUCGGGGGCCUCAUCGCGGCAGUCGUGGCUGUGGCAGUCGUGG
Alligator mississippiensis (American alligator) is the source of this 3719-nucleotide RNA transcript. It is a transcript of the gene named nectin cell adhesion molecule 2, with no coding region annotated. The transcript has 2 exons. The record is from RefSeq and is a predicted model, not a curated record. Lineage: Eukaryota; Metazoa; Chordata; Crocodylia; Alligatoridae.